Odocoileus virginianus texanus is the source of this 586-nucleotide non-coding RNA. NCBI's taxonomy places the organism in Eukaryota, Metazoa, Chordata, Mammalia, Artiodactyla, Cervidae. The record is from RefSeq and is a predicted model, not a curated record.
GGAACUUCAAGUUCACAAGUCAUCUCCUUUCAAGGCAGGUGCCUGGUGUGACAUCAGGGUUAUGACCAUGCCUCUUUUCAGAACAGCACAAACUGCAUUAGUUGGCAGAAGACGUGAUGGAAACCACUAGUGCUAAGGGAUUAAUGUGGAGCCACGGAGGAGUGUGAUAGACUGAAGAGGCUACAUCAGUGUUACAAGGGAAGGACCUGGCACCCAGAGCUGGGCACUGGAAUCUGGGCGUCUGACAGCACCCUAACUGGUGUGUAAAUGCCACAGGAUUCAGGAAAAGCUGCUUAUUUCAGAAGGUUCCACUUCUGCUCAACUACCCUCCUUGGCCUAAAAGAGCAACACCAAACUCCUUAGCCUGAAGUGGCAAACUCAUCCUGGCCCUGGACUCGCUAAUAGGAUCAUCUCCAGAGACUGACUCCACCCUCCCUCAACUUUAACUGGAUGUUCUCUCAAGUCUGUGAAUACACAAUGUGUAUUUUCCUCAUCUGUUUGUCCUGUCUGAAAUGCCUUUUCUCCCCUCAGGCUCUCUCAUCGGGCUCAGACUCCCCAGUCCCUCUUAAUUGUCCCUUGGUCUGUU